UGGGCUUCUAUAAAUUAUUUCCUUUAAAACAAGAGUUUCAGAGUUUCCAAAUUUGUUCUAUGUGUUAAUGAAAACUAGUGUGUAUGCUUAUGACUCAGACACUCAGCAGAUCACCACUAACUGUGUUGAUAGUUUUGACUUAAAUACAAUUUAAAUUGCUUUUUUUUUUAAGAGAUAUUUUGUUUUUAUUUAUUUGAAAGGCAGAGUUACAGAGAGAGGUAGAGAAAGAGAGAGAGAGAGAGAGAGAGAGAGAGGUCUUCCAUCCAUUGGUUCAUUUCCCAAAUGGCUUCAGUGACUGGCACUGAGUCAGGUCAAAGCCAGGAGCCAGGAGUUUCCUCUGUCUCCUACGUGGGUGCAGAGGACAAAGCGCUUAGGCUGUCCUCCACUGCUUUCCAAGGCCAUUAGUAGGGAAGUGGAACAGGUGGGACUCAAAUCGGCGCCCAUAUGGGAUGCUGGCACUGCAAGGGUUUAACCCGUUGUACCACAGUGCUAGCCCCUUAAAUUGCUUGUAUUUUUAAUCAUUUUAAUUUUUUACUCAUAUUCAUGGCUUUAAUACCACAACACAAGGCUAUAGAUUAAUGAGGUGCAUACCAAAUUCUGCAACUUUAUCUCAAGGUGAUCUUUAUCAUGGCCAAGAAGAAAUCAUCUGUUGGUUUUCAGGUAAAACACCAAGUUGUCUCUAGGACCUUAAAGUAUGUUUACUAAGAAAAAAUACAGUGGCCAUUUUGUAUAACUUGGCAUUCCUGUAUUAUGAAUGAAAACUUCCCACCUGCUGAUUUUUUGAGACAUGCUUAACAUUAGUAGUUUGAAACCUUUGCUGAUCUUUUAGAACCAAAACAGAACAUACAGAAUAAAGUACUUGCUUUUUUAUAUGAAAAAUGACAAAAUUUCAAAUAUCAUUUUGCAAACUCUUUUCAUCUAUUUUUGAGGCAAUGUCAUGGCCUUAUUUUAGUGUUUCAAAAUAAUGUGAUUUCAAAAUAAAUUCUUUUGCACAAUUAAUUUAAACAGUGGGCAUCACUUGUUAAAUAGAAACUAAGAAUUGCCAAUAUUUGUCUUUAUUACAAACAUUGUAAAGAUCACAUAAAGAUGAAUUUUAUAAUACUAUCUUAAAUACUAUAGCAAUUUAAAGUAAAACAGCUUUUCUUUAAAAAUUACCUUUCAAUCAUAUAAAAUGAAAAAUGAGACAAUUAUUAAAAUCCCUAAGGACUUCUAAAGAUUAUAUAGUACUUGGAAAUAUUAUACAGUGGCAUGAAGGGCUGUUGUUGUGGCAUAGUGGGUAAGGCUGUCACCUUUGACUCUGGAGUCACAUAUGGGCACCAGUUUGUGUUCUGGCUCUCCACUUUUGAUCCAGCUCCCUGUGAAUGCACCCGGGAAAAUGCCGAAGAUGGCCCACGUGCUUGAGCCACAGCACCUAUGUGAAAGACCUGGAUGAAGUUCCUGGCCCAGCCCUGGCCAUGGCAGCUAUCUGGGGAGUGAACCAGUGGAUGGAAGAUCCCUCUCUCUGUCUCUCCCUCUCUCUUUGUGACUUACAAAUAAAUAAGUAAAUCUUAAAAAAGAAAAAAUAAAGUGCCAUGAAAGGGGUUUGUGAAUCCAAGUGGGAAAACAUUGACGGUUCCUAAAAAUCUGAUCCAGCCGUAGAAUACGCUUCAUAUUCCCCUCAAAAGGUUGUUUUCUAAAAAAUAAUUUCCACUUAAUCCAGCUUUUAUUAUUUUGAUUGUUUGUUAAAAUGAAAAUAAAAAAGUAGUAAAAAUGAUAUCCAUAGCACUUUCCCUAAGUUGUUAGCAUGCAUUGUCAGGGCCUGAGAAGGGACACAGAAAAAUCAUCCAUGGGAGGAGCUGGUGCCCGCUGACUUAGCCCAGCCUUUAUCAGUACCUUGCAAUCCGAAGCCAGGAGCCAGGAGCCAGGAGCCUCUUCCAGGUCUCCCACGAAAGGGCAGGGACCCAAGGAUUCAGCCAUCUUCUACUGCUUUCCCAGGCCAUAGCAGAGAGCUGGAUUGGAAGUGGAACAGCCGGGUCUCGAACCAGCACCCAUAUGGGAUGCUGGUGCUUCAGGCCAGGGCAUUAACCCACUGAGCCACAACACCGGCCCCAAACAAUUUUUGAUGCAUUUCUUAAUACCCCUUUCACAUAAUUGUAAUCAUGUAAUCCCCUGCUUUGUGUCCUCUUUUGCUAUUUUCUGAAUGCUUUCUAAAUUGUUAUAUAGCCUUCAUUAUAUUCCCUUUCAAUGGCUAUGUAAUAGUCCACAAAGUGGAUGGAUCCACCAUUUCCUAUUUUUGGACAGUUAGGUCCCUAUUUUAAAUAAUGCUUCAAAUGACCUCUUACCUACUUUAUCUUGUUUCCAUAGACUGAGUAUUCCCAUCGGGACUACAGGGUGAAAAUAUAGCCACACAUUCAUAGAUGGUUCCUUUCUGCUGUGGGCUGAACUGUGUGACCCAGCACAGAUGCUGAAGUUCUAACCUGGAGUAUCUCAGAUGUAGCUGGAGACAGUCUCUAAAGAGGGAAGUUACAUUCUGAUUUGCAAUUAACUAUUCAAAAAGUACCACUUGUUGAGUUCAGAAGAAAUUUUAUUCAUGCACUUAAUCGAAAACAACACAUCUGAAUAGAUUGAAUAUGGAAGCAGAUCUGAGACUCCUGCUGUCUACUACCAAGUUGCAAGGAUUUGCACCCAAAACUGGUGCGUUUAUUUAUUUAUUUUUUUAGCUUCUCAUAUAGGAAAAGCAACUAAUUCUACAUUACUCGUUUAUUUUUUUUAUUUGGAAAAUAUAGUUAUGA
Oryctolagus cuniculus (rabbit) is the source of this 2771-nucleotide non-coding RNA. The record is from RefSeq and is a predicted model, not a curated record. Lineage: Eukaryota; Metazoa; Chordata; Mammalia; Lagomorpha; Leporidae.